This 821-nucleotide long non-coding RNA is filed under the name Bemisia tabaci. Its description in RNAcentral is "lncRNA ENSSSA1NGG004090". Lineage: Eukaryota; Metazoa; Arthropoda; Insecta; Hemiptera; Aleyrodidae. The record is from RNAcentral.
GUAAUUUGCUCUUUAUUCAAAAUUUAUCAUGUGCUCAGCCCGAAUUUCUCCUAACUCAAGUUAGAAUAUCCAACCUUCUUAAUAACAUGCGAUAAUUUUUAAUUUCAGUCUCAGCCAAGUAGUGCCAAUGGAAAACGAGGGAUCCGGGAGGGGAUGAAAAUGUUAGUUGCUUCCUCACUGUUUGGAGUCGGUCGAACUUCUGAAUCCUCACAAACACCACCACAACCUCCACCUAGUGCCCCUAUAAUGCCGAGAAACACUUCAGCAUCUCCUUCCACCCCUAAGUUCAUUGACAAAGAGCCAGUGAUGGACUGGACAGAUAGCUUUGUCACCAGGCAGAUGGCUUUGAAGCCUGCUCACCACCCAAAAUGCAACAUUGAUCAUACUGUCAUGAUCACAACUCCCCCGUGGCAGUUGGAGUCCCUGCAUGGAAAAAAUAAGUUUCCCCCAUCAAGUGAACUCAAACCCCCACAGAUUGUCAGCAGGAAUAAUAGCAUUGCCUCUAAGACAGUACCACCACGAUCUCCAAUUCCAAAAGAAGAGGUUUAUGCGUCUCCAGAAUCACCUCUGUCUAAGAUGGAUGUCCACAUGGUCGGGUGGCCGUCAGAUAAAGAUCAGGAAGCAGGCUCAAAGCAAAGUGUCUCUCUUUAGAAUUACCUGCUCCAGAGCGACUUUUGCCUAUCGGUGCUGCGCCAGUGAAUAGAGAAGGCAUGGUAUCUCUCGUGCGCCAUGUCAGCAAUGUUCUAGGGAUAUCUAACUCAAACGGUAUUGUCAAUCUCAUUGUAUAGAAUUAUAUUCGCCUGUCUUUUCUUGAAUUCACA